RNAcentral lists this ribosomal RNA (253 nucleotides) under uncultured bacterium. RNAcentral's name for it is "partial 16S ribosomal RNA". It matches the Rfam family "Bacterial small subunit ribosomal RNA", at positions 524 to 776 of the family's 1533-position model. The record is from RNAcentral.
UACGUAGGGUGCGAGCGUUGUCCGGAAUUAUUGGGCGUAAAGGGCUCGUAGGCGGUUUGUCGCGUCGGGAGUGAAAACCCAGGGCUUAACUCUGGGCUUGCUUUCGAUACGGGCAGACUAGAGGUAUGCAGGGGAGAACGGAAUUCCUGGUGUAGCGGUGAAAUGCGCAGAUAUCAGGAGGAACACCGGUGGCGAAGGCGGUUCUCUGGGCCAUUACUGACGCUGAGGAGCGAAAGCGUGGGGAGCGAACAGG